GUCUACGGCCAUACCACCCUGAACAAGCUCGAUCUCGUCUGGGUCAGGCCUGGUUAGUGCUUGGAUGGGAGACCCUCUAGGAAGACCAGGUGCUGUAGGCG
This 101-nucleotide ribosomal RNA is filed under the name Pteropus alecto (black flying fox). Lineage: Eukaryota; Metazoa; Chordata; Mammalia; Chiroptera; Pteropodidae. The record is from RNAcentral.